This is a long non-coding RNA of Phyllopteryx taeniolatus (common seadragon), 2036 nucleotides long. RefSeq lists it as uncharacterized. NCBI's taxonomy places the organism in Eukaryota, Metazoa, Chordata, Actinopteri, Syngnathiformes, Syngnathidae. The record is from RefSeq and is a predicted model, not a curated record. The transcript has 4 exons.
CAUGUAAAUCAUGAAACUUCAUUUUGGACACCUAACGGUAAAGACAUUCUAGCAUUAAUGCUUGAAAAAUAUGACUUUAUAAUUUGUUAUUUCUUAGAAACAUUAUUAUGACGUUUUGAUGGCGAUAACAACUGCCAAUAAUUCAAAGACUUGUAUUAAUAAAAUUAAUUGAUUUUCAAACUCAAAUUCAGUGGCCCAUUUCUAUACCAUGAUUGAUCAAAUUAUAUGAAAAUUACCCAUUUAUACACCUAGCAGUAGCAUUGCUGCGACAAAGUGGAACAUUUCAAAAUGUUUGAUUGACAAGACCUGUCAUGGUUCUGUCCUGCAGUCGCCUUUUUGGAGCUUGAGUGGCGCUUUUUGCCUCGCCUUUCCCUCUCUCUCUCUCCCCCUCCCUCUUUCCCCCAGCAAUCAGCACCAACUUGGCCGCGCACCUGUCCUCAAUCAGCACUCAUCACUGCCUGCAUAAAAGCCUGCCAGAUCCAGGAAACCAUCGACAGAGUAUUGACAGUGACAGUAGUGGUACACAGGCCGACUCUCGCACUCUAGUUUGUUACAUCAUUGCCAAGGGUGAGUUACAACCAGACCAGGCCCAUUCUCUCCACGCGCAAAGAGCUGCAACAUUUCCUAGGCUUCGCCAAGUUCUACCGUCGAUUCCAGUCUCACCUCCACCAGUUCCCCAUUCCAUUGGACCCCUGCCGCAUCGCAAGCAUUUGAACGCCUGAAGGAACUUUUCACUUGUGCCCCCAUCCUGAGACACCCCAACCCUUCCCUACAGUUCGUCGUGGAAGUUGAUGCCUCUGACACAGGGGCUGGAGCCGUCCUCUCCCAGCGAGACCCUGUGUCCCAAAAAUUACAUCCCUGUGCUUUUUUUCCCCCGGCGCCUUUCCACAUCCGAGCAAAAUUACGAUGUGGGGAAUCGUGAGCUACUAGCCAUCGUCUGGGCCCUGGAGGAGUGGAGGCACUGGCUGGAGGGGACCACCGUUCCAUUUAUUAUAUGGACCGACCACAAAAAACUCACCGAUCUCCGUUCCGCUAAGCGGCUUAACACCCAGCAAGCUCGUUGUGCUUAUUUCUCAGCCGUUUCAAUUUCAGCUUCUCCUUCCGCCCCGGUUCCCGCAACGGCAAACCUGUCGCCUUCUCUCGUAUUUUUUCACCCCCCCUCCCGCCCAGUAGAACCAGAAUCCAUCCUUCCUUCAUCUUGCUUCAUUGGGGCAGCCCCUUGAAAGAUCGAACAAACGGUUAAGAAAGCUCAAAGAACCCAACCUGAUCCCAAGACCAUACCCCCUGACCGUCUCUUUGUGCCCGACUCCACCCACUCAGAAGUACUUCAAUGGGCCCGUAACUCCAAACUAACCUGUCAUCCCGGAAUCACCCGAACCAUGAAUAUCAUUCAACAACACUUCCGGUGGACCAGUCUGGCUAAAGACACCCGUGAGUUCGUCCAAGCCUGCUCUCUCUGUGCUUGAGGACAACCCUCACAUCAAGCCCCAGCUGGUCUGCUGCGCCCUUUACCCAUUCCGAGUCACCCUUGUUCCCACAUUUCCCUGGACUUCGUCACCGGCCUAGUCCCCUCUGAAGACUUCAUGGCAUUCCGAUGGACAUUGUGUCAGUCAGAGGUCCAAGGUCUGGCAAGAAUUCUGCAAGGCAGUGGGCGCGGCAGUCAAUCUGUCUUCCAGCAACCACCCCCAAUCCAACAGCCAGACGGAGCAGAAAUCAGCACCACGUUGGCCGCGUCCUCAAUCAGCACUCAGCACUGCCUGUAUAAAAGCCUGCCAGAUCCAGGAAACCAUCGCCAGAGUGUCGACAGUGACAGUAGUGUUACACAGGUCGACUCUCGCACUCUAGUUUGUAAGCACUCGACUUUACGCAAUCACACUCACCUCCUUGUGUUCUCCACCAUUAACUACAGGUAUACAGGUAUGUCAUAUGAAUUAUGCAAUAUUUGGGACAGGUGCUUGAUGACAAAGCCUAUUCAACAGCAUGAUGACAGUCAAAAUAACUGUAUAUUGUAUACUGUAUAACUGUAUUAAAGUAAC